RNAcentral lists this non-coding RNA (22 nucleotides) under Rattus norvegicus (Norway rat). Lineage: Eukaryota; Metazoa; Chordata; Mammalia; Rodentia; Muridae. The record is from RNAcentral.
UGGUGGACUGUAACUACUUUUC